This 989-nucleotide long non-coding RNA is filed under the name Equus caballus (horse). RNAcentral's name for it is "lncRNA (ENSECAG00000029009.3)". The record is from RNAcentral. Lineage: Eukaryota; Metazoa; Chordata; Mammalia; Perissodactyla; Equidae.
CCUGACAGUGGCUUUCUCAGUUUUAUCUUGGGUCCUGUAUUUGACCUUACUCAGAUGUCCUGUACUUAAAACACUUUACUUUUUCAUAAAAAGUACAAAAAGUUUACUCUAAAAACUUCCGGGCCUUUUCAAAAUGAGAAAAACCCUUCAAGUCCAGAAAUUGGCUCAACUUGUCUUUCCAUCUGCUCCCUCACUAUCCUGAACUAUACACAGCUGCAGGGUGGGAUGCGUUCCUCUGGAAGGAUACAGCCAGAAUUUCCCCUUGUUGCCUCAGAAAGUUUUGGAAUUGGAAGUGUGGGGGCGUUUAGGCCCUGAGGUGAGUGGCAGGGGCAAAUGUUGCUCUUGGAUCUCUUGGUGAGGAAUGAAUGUCACCUGCUCCUAAGAGCCUUUCUCUCCCUCAGGAAGUCUGGGUGGUGGGCCACGUCCCCACGCCUCAGCUGACCCUAACGAAAAUGGGGAGCAGUCCACCCUUCCCCUUCCUCUACCCUUCCUGGAGCAGAAGGGAGGAGAGAACUCGCAGCUCUGAAAAGGACCAGAGAUAGGAAUAUUUUCCUGAAAACCGUAACUUACCUUCAUUUAGAAAACGUUGCUGAUUCCUGAGUAUCUCACAGGUGAGCAGUCAGUGCAGAAGUGUGUAUUUCCCCAGUCAAGCCUUCAGCUGAGACCCCAGCCCCAGCUGACACCUUAAUUGCAGCCUUGUGAGAGACCUUGGAGCAGAGAACCCAGAUUCUUCGGCGGGACCCACCCAGUUCCUGGACCCUGCCCUGGCCACUCCAGUGUCCACAAUCGCAAAACCCAUCCAUACACACACCUGCACUGACUGCUCACCUGUGAGAUACUCAGGAAUCAGCAACGUUUUCUAAAUGAAGGUAAGUUACGGUUUUCAGGAAAAUAUUCCUAUCUCUGGUCCUUUUCAGAGCUGCGAGUUCUCUCCUCCCUUCUGCUCCAGGAAAGGUAGAGGAAGGGGAAGGGUGGACUGCUCCCCAUUU